This 17-nucleotide microRNA is filed under the name Corchorus capsularis. Its description in RNAcentral is "sRNA CCACVL1_27715". The record is from RNAcentral. Lineage: Eukaryota; Viridiplantae; Streptophyta; Magnoliopsida; Malvales; Malvaceae.
CCAAUUUCCAUUUCUUU